This 470-nucleotide ribosomal RNA is filed under the name uncultured bacterium. RNAcentral describes it as "SSU rRNA". It matches the Rfam family "Bacterial small subunit ribosomal RNA", at positions 26 to 518 of the family's 1533-position model. The record is from RNAcentral.
AGGACGAACGCUGGCGGCGUGCUUAACACAUGCAAGUCGAGCGGAAAGGCCCUUCGGGGUACUCGAGCGGCGAACGGGUGAGUAACACGUGAGCAACCUGCCCUUGGCUCUGGGAUAGCCUCCGGAAACGGGGAUUAAUACCGGACAUUCACUUUCUCCUGCAUGGGGGGUUGGUGGAAAGUUUUUCGGCCAGGGAGGGGCUCGCGGCCUAUCAGCUUGUUGGCGGGGUAACGGCCCACCAAGGCGACGACGGGUAGCCGGCCUGAGAGGGCGAUCGGCCACACUGGGACUGAGACACGGCCCAGACUCCUACGGGAGGCAGCAGUGGGGAAUAUUGCACAAUGGGCGCAAGCCUGAUGCAGCGACGCCGCGUGGGGAUGAAGGCCUUCGGGUUGUAAACCCUUUCACCAGGAGCGAAUUCAGACGGUACCUGGGGAAGAAGCGCCGGCUAACUACGCGCCAGCAGCCGC